RNAcentral lists this ribosomal RNA (253 nucleotides) under uncultured bacterium. RNAcentral describes it as "partial 16S ribosomal RNA". It matches the Rfam family "Bacterial small subunit ribosomal RNA", at positions 524 to 776 of the family's 1533-position model. The record is from RNAcentral.
GACGAACCGUGCGAACGUUGUUCGGAAUCACUGGGCUUAAAGGGCGCGUAGGCGGGCAGCCAAGUCCGGGGUGAAAUCUUUCGGCCCAACCGGAAAAGUGCCUCGGAUACUGGCUGCCUGGAGGGAGGUAGGGGCACGCGGAACUUCCGGUGGAGCGGUGAAAUGCGUUGAUAUCGGAAGGAACGCCGGUGGCGAAAGCGGCGUGCUGGACCUCUGCUGACGCUGAGGCGCGAAAGCCAGGGGAGCGAACGGG